Ribosomal RNA from Lycium barbarum (goji berry), 118 nucleotides. NCBI's taxonomy places the organism in Eukaryota, Viridiplantae, Streptophyta, Magnoliopsida, Solanales, Solanaceae. The record is from RefSeq and is a predicted model, not a curated record.
GGAUGCGAUCAUACCAGCACUAACGCACUGGACUCCAUCAGAACUCCGAAGUUAAGUGUGCUUGGGCGAGAGUAGUACUUGGAUGGGUGACCCCGGGGAAGUCCUUGUGGUUCAUCCC